AUUGAACGCUGGCGGCAUGCUUUACACAUGCAAGUCGAACGGUAACAGGCCUUCGGGUGCUGACGAGUGGCGAACGGGUGAGUAAUGCAUCGGAACGUACCCAGAGGUGGGGGAUAACGCAGCGAAAGCUGUGCUAAUACUGCAUGUGAUCUGAGGAUGAAAGCGGGGGACCGAGCAGCAAUGUUUGGCCUCGCGCCUUUGGAGCGGCCGAUGUCGGAUUAGCUAGUUGGUGGGUAAAGGCCUACCAAGGCGACGAUCCGUAGCUGGUCUGAGAGGACGACCAGCCACACUGGGACUGAGACACGGCCCAGACUCCUACGGGAGGCAGCAGUGGGGAAUUUUGGACAAUGGGCGCAAGCCUGAUCCAGCAAUGCCGCGUGCGGGAAGAAGGCCUUCGGGUUGUAAACCGCUUUUGGCAGGAACGAAACGGUGUCCGCUAAUACCGGGCGCUAAUGACGGUACCUGCAGAAUAAGCACCGGCUAACUACGUG
RNAcentral lists this ribosomal RNA (491 nucleotides) under uncultured bacterium. Its description in RNAcentral is "partial 16S ribosomal RNA". It matches the Rfam family "Bacterial small subunit ribosomal RNA", at positions 30 to 507 of the family's 1533-position model. The record is from RNAcentral.